UAAUCUUUCAAAAACCACAGUGCAGCACUUCUCUGCAUGAAGAAAGAAACAUUUCAGCUUAUAUCAGCUGUUGAUUACCAAAAAAUGUAUUUUACUGUCAACAUUAUGAGCAAACAGGCCCUUGUUUAUCUUAUAGUUCACAAAACAAUUUAUGACAUUCUUAAAAAUGCUCAUUUGAAUGCAUUCAUGUAAAGGACGUCCUGCGGGCUAUUGUACAAUGCUAAACCAAUAUCCUGUACAAGGUAAUCAUCAGGACAUUUUUUAAAUAAACCUUUAAAUCAAUGCAUUUCAGUUUAUUAGUAUAAUGUCAAUUUUCAAGAGGGAUUUGACACAAAUUCACCUCCAGUUUUUCUGACUUUUAUCUAUCCUGACCACUAUCUUCAUCUUAAUACGCUAUGCUAGUCUGUCAUAUGAACUCCUCUGUUUUUCUGAGCUUGACAUCAGAUGACCAGAUAAAAAAAGACCCCGUUUUUAUCAUAGUUUUUAGUUUCUAAGUGUUCCAUGUAUUCCUGAAGUUUUGUUUGAUUUCUAAAUGUACUCAAACGUAAUAAGUUUACUCGCACAAUGUGAAUGUUAUUCCUUAAUGCACAAAACAAAGAUAAAUCUGCUUCCAUGGCUGCCAGUAGUGCACUGUCAACUUCCAUAAUCCUAAAUAACUACAGUCAUAAUAAUGCCUGUGAUCAACCAAAGUGCUUCAUAGCCAUAAAGGCCCCCAGCACCUAAUUUAUCAUACAUUUUGCAGUUUCACACUUGUUCACAGAGUGCCCUUCAUGGAGCAUUAAUGUUGGUUUGUGAGGAGAACCUUUGACAGUCAGUCUGAUGCACCUUCCACAGCUUGCAUUCAUGCCCAACCUGACGACAAAGGCGAGACAACCCUAGCACCCAAAUGUGACUGUUUGGUUUGGGGCUGACACCCUGCACUGUAAAUAAAUGUUUUAAAUUCUUGUCAGAGAUUGUUUUGCCACUGCUGGCCCUCAGCAAUGACAUAAGAGUAAGGGUUAGAGGGGCAACAUCCCACCCUGUGGCCCUGUGGAGGCCAGUCACAAUGAAUAUGAGGAAAUGAGGAAGAGAUCCAGUAAAUAAUAGUUUACAUUGUGUCCCUCAGCAAGCAGAGGUUGGGGUUGGGCUGGAGGGAAUGGUAGAGGGAGGAGGAAUGGGGGACUCUGCAUAAUAUGCCAGGCCCUGACAUGGCACCCAGACCCAGAGCCUUCACCCCUGCAGAAACAUCACCCUCUCUUCCACAAUUUGUGCACUUAACACUUCAGUUUGUACAUGAGAGGUGCUUAUUUCCCAGUGCUGGCUUUUUCCCCUUGCAGUGAUGCCUCUGAGCUACGGACACACACAAAAUCUGGUACGGGUGUCUCUCCAUGAGGCCGCUUGCUUUAACAUCUUAUAGUUACACAAGUGAUACUUUAUAGAACUGUACGUGUUACUUUUGCCCACUGACAUUGGCGCAGUGAGCAGUGGGUGUGGGGGUUAGUUUGUGUGACAAAUGGGUCAUGUGUUCACCGGCAUCCUGAGACUAUCAUGGUAAAACUGCAUUUCAUCUCUGAAAUUCUACAAGGCACUUAAACAGGUUUAAUAAAUAAAUAUAACUAGUACCAUACAGCUUUGUUGUAGCAGAUGGGAUACAUUCACAGCUUUUGUCCAAGAACUAGGGCUAUUUUAUCACUGGGAUAUGCAUUGGUAUUACCUGAGGAUGAGGUAAUAUGUUUCUGCUAUGAAUUUUUUUUUAUCAUAAGCUCAAGGUUAUUCUUGUAAGACUUUAUUUAUGACAGAGACAAGGUGCUGUAUUGAUAGAGUAAGAAACGGGAUAAAUAUGUGUAAUUGAAUAGAAAAACCCAAUGAUUGGCACAACCCUACUAUAUUAAGGAGUAUAUACAGAUGUAGGUCUUUUUUUCUGUGUUUAGCUGUGGCACCUUCCUGGAGGGGGGCCAUUGGUCAAGCUGCUGCUGCCAACAACUUAAUGCUCACCUUCUACAGAUGAUACACUUGUCUUUAAGUGUUUAACCCUGUCUCUCCUAGACAUAGCUACUGGCUGAGCUUCUACUGCGACUAACUGUAUGUGCUCUCUUUCAUACUCUAGACUUUAAAACUGGCUUAGAGUUAAUCUGCUUAGUUGUCUGUCUCUCCUAGAUAAAGCCACUAAAGGAGCUACAACCAUUAAUGUUUUACUUUUUUCCUAUAGAAAGUGCUCCUGGAUCAGUGCUUCUGUGUUCUUUUUGUGUCUCUGCUCUGCUCUCUCAAACCCACAGUUGGUCAUGGCAGAUGGCCACUCACAGAGCCUGCUUCUGCUGCAACUACUUACCAGCUGUCCUCUGCCGCACCUGACCGCUCCAUCUGCCUGCUCGCUCUCCAACAUAACUACAGACUCUCAGUAUUGGAUACUCCCCAACCACAAGGCUCACACAUGGAUCAUACCCAGCCUCAAAGAGCUCCCACGGAUUGGCACAGUAAGCAAUCACACUAUCGACAAGCAAUUCAAGGUAAACUUUUUUUGAAGAACCAGUCUAACUCCAACUCUCCUCCGUAGAAGACCAGUUUUCCCACGCCCCGAUUCCCAUACACCUUUUUUUGCUGUAUAAAUAAAUAUUAUUGAGAACUUUGAAUCUGUCUCCGAGAGUUGUUCUGCAUGUGGGUCAGGAAGAUUCAGCACAAUAUGACAGCUACAUGUUUUUCCAGGAGGAGUGAAUGCUGCAAUUCACUUAUGCAACCUGCUGGGUUUCCUUAGAUAGAAAAAUGUUUAACCUAUUUGAAUAAUAAACUGAAUCUGACUGCACUGUUUGAUACUUAGGAUUAAUUGCAAUGUAUGUACCCAAUUUGAAAAAAUUGUGAUUCGAUUUAAUUGACUUUGUAACGUGCCUUGAGACGAAAUUGAAAUAAUUUGAAAACCGAAUUUUAAAGUAAAAUAUGUUGUAUCAAAGAUGAAGCUGUUAGGUUCUGAGUGCUGUGGGGUUUUUCUUCUCCACCUCUUCCCCUCCCUGUUUAUUUCCUCCUCACUGCAGGUGAGAUCCACCCCUGCUCUGCUGGCUGACACCCAUGGUCAUGGUUUUCUCCUCAGCGCUGCUCUACACACCUGCAGUUGAUUAUUUCCUGAUGAUCUGCAAGCUUUUUAAGCCGGCCUUGGACCUGUAUUCAGCGCUAGUCCGUUGACCUAACUUGGUGGUUUUGAAAAUAUUUUUGAGAAACCUCACUCUGGUGUUCAUUCCCUCUUCAAGUACCCACCUGGAAAGCCCUGCUCACUUUCAGGCAGUUGACCACACCUGGACUCACCCACUUCCUUCCCCUCCAUUGUGGAUUUACUCUGUCCUAUGGCUUCUUGGUUUGGCUCCUCAGCACCCUGACUCCAAUUGACCUUUCCAAGCCCAGGCGUCAGCACUUAAAGCAAGCCAAUUCCAUUACUAUCAAACAUACCACUAAACAUCUCCUUGGUUGAGUCCUGCCUACCAGUUCCCAUUUCUUCUGUAGCUAGAUCCUACUCAUUCCCUGAAAUUAACUUCUCAGACUUCUGAUAAACCUUGUUGUUUUGACUUUUUGUCGCAGAGUUUUGGUUUUCAUUAUUUGGGUCUGGAUGGAGCUCUGCAUUGUGACAGAAGCUUAAUAUUUUUGUGAGGCCUUCAGAGUUUUGGAUUUUGAAAUUCUGGAAAUUUCUCUGCUUUCUGUGAAAUGUCACUUUUUAUCAGCCUUGCACGGCUAUUUCCUUUAUGUUCUUUCUCUUGCUAGUACUCUACUGCAUGCAGGUUUCAUUAAACUUUAAAUGCUAUUCUUAAAACCCGUUUCAUCUGAUGUUCAGUUGUAAAGGUACAAUUGCAGAAUAAUGGAAAGAAGGCAAAUUGAGAAAACAAUAGAUGCCAUUCAACUAUAUCUAUCUUAAACCAAGUAAAAACUUUACAUUACAUUAUGUCAGUGUGGUACUUUGCUUUUGCACCUAGAUCUAAAAUACAGGACUAAGAAGCCAAAAAAAGCCUACUGACAUGUAUCAUGCACGUUCCUCAGAACUGUGCGUCUGCAGUUUUUUAGCUGUUAAGACAGCAUUUAAGAAAUAUUAUCAUUAAAGUGCUAAAGCCACA
Molecule: long non-coding RNA, 4070 nt
Organism: Girardinichthys multiradiatus
Lineage: Eukaryota; Metazoa; Chordata; Actinopteri; Cyprinodontiformes; Goodeidae
Exons: 2
Source: RefSeq, a predicted model, not a curated record